AUUGAACGCUGGCGGCAGGCUUAACACAUGCAAGUCGAGCGGGGUGAUGGUGCUUGCACUAUCACUUAGCGGCGGACGGGUGAGUAAUGCUUAGGAAUCUGCCUAUUAGUGGGGGACAACAUCUCGAAAGGGAUGCUAAUACCGCAUACGUCCUACGGGAGAAAGCAGGGGAUCACUUGUGACCUUGCGCUAAUAGAUGAGCCUAAGUCGGAUUAGCUAGUUGGUGGGGUAAAGGCCUACCAAGGCGACGAUCUGUAGCGGGUCUGAGAGGAUGAUCCGCCACACGGGGACUGAGACACGGCCCAGACCCCUACGGGAGGCAGCAGUGGGGAAUAUUGGACAAUGGGGGAAACCCUGAUCCAGCCAUGCCGCGUGUGUGAAGAAGGCCUUAUGGUUGUAAAGCACUUUAAGCGAGGAGGAGGCUCUUUUGGUUAAUACCCAAGAUGAGUGGACGUUACUCGCAGAAUAAGCACCGGCUAACUCUGUGCCAGCCGCCGCCGUAA
RNAcentral lists this ribosomal RNA (503 nucleotides) under uncultured bacterium. Its description in RNAcentral is "partial 16S ribosomal RNA". It matches the Rfam family "Bacterial small subunit ribosomal RNA", at positions 30 to 523 of the family's 1533-position model. The record is from RNAcentral.